GACGAACGCUGGCGGCGUGCUUAACGCAUGCAAGUCGAACGGAAAGGCCCUGCUUUUGUGGGGUGCUCGAGUGGCGAACGGGUGAGUAACACGUGAGUAACCUGCCCUUGACUUUGGGAUAACUUCAGGAAACUGGGGCUAAUACCGGAUAGGAGCUCCUGCUGCAUGGUGGGGGUUGGAAAGUUUCGGCGGUUGGGGAUGGACUCGCGGCUUAUCAGCUUGUUGGUGGGGUAGUGGCUUACCAAGGCUUUGACGGGUAGCCGGCCUGAGAGGGUGACCGGCCACAUUGGGACUGAGAUACGGCCCAGACUCAUACGGGGGGCAGCAGUGGGGAAUAUUGCAAAAUGGGCGGAAGCCUGAUGCAGCAACGCCGCGUGCGGGAUGACGGCCUUCGGGUUGUAAACCGCUUUCGCCUGUGACGAAGCGUGAGUGACGGUAAUGGGUAAAGAAGCACCGGCUAACUACGU
RNAcentral lists this ribosomal RNA (467 nucleotides) under uncultured bacterium. Its description in RNAcentral is "partial 16S ribosomal RNA". It matches the Rfam family "Bacterial small subunit ribosomal RNA", at positions 28 to 506 of the family's 1533-position model. The record is from RNAcentral.